RNAcentral lists this ribosomal RNA (776 nucleotides) under uncultured Neocallimastigales. RNAcentral's name for it is "partial large subunit ribosomal RNA". It matches the Rfam family "Eukaryotic large subunit ribosomal RNA", at positions 26 to 635 of the family's 3401-position model. The record is from RNAcentral. Lineage: Eukaryota; Fungi; Neocallimastigomycota; Neocallimastigomycetes; Neocallimastigales.
CGCAUCUGUGCAUGCAGCAUAUCAAUAAGCGGAGGAAAAGAAACUAACAAGGAUUCCCUUAGUAACGGCGAGUGAAGCGGGAAGAGCUCAAAUUUGAAAUCUUCAAGGUUUUACCUUGACGAAUUGUAGUUUAAAGAAGUGUUUUCUGUUGAAGUUUUGGUAAAAGUUCUUUGGAAGUAGGACAUCAUAGAGGGUGAGAAUCCCGUAUUUGACCAUUAUUUUCAGCUGUGUGAUACACUUUCAAAGAGUCGGAUUGUUUGGGAAUGCAGUCCAAAAUGGGUGGUAAAUUUCAUCUAAAGCUAAAUAUUGGCGAUGAGACCGAUAGCGAACAAGUACCGUGAGGGAAAGAUGAAAAGAACUUUGAAAAGAGAGUUAAACAGUACGUGAAAUUGUCAAAAGGGAAGCGUUUGACACCAGUGUUGUUUUCUCGAAAAUCAAUUAAAAAGAGUUAGAUUUUGUUGUGUAUUGACCUUAACAGCUUGCAUUUCAAUUUUCUUGCUUUUUUUAAUGCACUUUUCGUUUAACAAGUCAACAUCAGUUUCUUUUGUUGUAAAAAGGUCAUUGGAAGGUGGCUUUCUUUUCGGAGAAAGUGUUUAUAGCCUUUGACUCCUGCAAUCGGAGAGACUGAGGUCUGCAGCGUAGAUCCUUCGGGGUUAGAUACAUUUGUGCUAAGUUAUAGCUUUUUAUAGACAACUUGUUGACUAUGAUUAGUCUUGUAGCUUACUCGCUUAUGCUAUUUUACCUACGCUUAGGAUGUUGAUCUGUAGUGCGUGCGC